Molecule: ribosomal RNA, 528 nt
Filed under: Gracixalus trieng
Lineage: Eukaryota; Metazoa; Chordata; Amphibia; Anura; Rhacophoridae
Description: Gracixalus sp. n. JR-2020 partial large subunit ribosomal RNA
Rfam family: Bacterial large subunit ribosomal RNA
Source: RNAcentral
CGCCUCUUGAUUAACAUGAGAGGUCCAGCCUGCCCGGUGACAAAGUUUAACGGCCGCGGUAACCUAACCGCGCGAAGGUAGCAUAAUCACUUGUUCUUUAAAUAGGGACUAGUAUCAACGGCAUCACGAGGGUUGCACUGUCUCCUCCUUCCAAUCAGUGAAACUGAUCUCCCCGUGAAAAAGCGGGGAUAAAAAUAUAAGACGAGAAGACCCCAUGGAGCUUUAAACCCAACAGCAACUCAGUAACAUAAUUCCUCAUAGCCCACAGAGAAGUGCACGUCGGUUUUAGGUUGGGGUGACCGCGGAGUAAAAAUUAACCUCCACGACGAAAAGAACUAAAUCUUUAUCCAAGAGCCACCACUCUAAGAAUUAGUAUACUAACGAACAAUGACCCAAUAAUUGAUCAACGAAACAAGUUACCCUGGGGAUAACAGCGCAAUCUACUUCAAGAGCCCAUAUCGACAAGUAGGCUUACGACCUCGAUGUUGGAUCAGGGUGUCCCAGUGGUGCAGCCGCUACUAAAGGUUC